Molecule: ribosomal RNA, 205 nt
Filed under: Vibrio parahaemolyticus
Lineage: Bacteria; Pseudomonadati; Pseudomonadota; Gammaproteobacteria; Vibrionales; Vibrionaceae
Description: partial 16S ribosomal RNA
Rfam family: Bacterial small subunit ribosomal RNA
Source: RNAcentral
AAAUUGAAGAGUUUGAUCAUGGCUCAGAUUGAACGCUGGCGGCAGGCCUAACACAUGCAAGUCGAGCGGAAACGAGUUAUCAGAACCUUCGGGGAACGAUAACGGCGUCGAGCGGCGGACGGGUGAGUAAUGCCUAGGAAAUUGCCCUGAUGUGGGGGAUAACCAUUGGAAACGAUGGCUAAUACCGCAUGAUGCCUUUGGGCCA